UACGGGGGGGGCAAGCGUUGUUCGGAAUUACUGGGCGUAAAGGGCGCGUAGGCGGUUGGAUAAGUCAGCUGUGAAAACCACGGGCUUAACUCGUGGCCUGCAGUUGAGACUGUCUGGCUUGAGUGUGGGAGAGGAGAGUGGAAUUCCUGGUGUAGCGGUGAAAUGCGUAGAUAUCAGGAGGAACACCGGUGGCGAAGGCGGGAUCCUGGGCCAGUACUGACGCUGAGGAGCGAAAGCGUGGGGAGCAAACAGG
This 253-nucleotide ribosomal RNA is filed under the name uncultured bacterium. RNAcentral describes it as "partial 16S ribosomal RNA". It matches the Rfam family "Bacterial small subunit ribosomal RNA", at positions 524 to 776 of the family's 1533-position model. The record is from RNAcentral.